Molecule: non-coding RNA, 46 nt
Organism: Ailuropoda melanoleuca (giant panda)
Lineage: Eukaryota; Metazoa; Chordata; Mammalia; Carnivora; Ursidae
Source: Rfam
ACAAAGGCUCUUUUCAGAGCCACCUAUAGUUUCAAAGAGAAAGCUG